This 107-nucleotide small nuclear RNA is filed under the name Mus musculus (house mouse). The record is from RNAcentral. Lineage: Eukaryota; Metazoa; Chordata; Mammalia; Rodentia; Muridae.
GUGCUUGCUUCGGCAGCACAUAUACUAAAAUUGGAGCGAUACAGAGAAGAUUAGCAUGGCCCCUGUGCAAGGAUGACAUGCAAAUUCAUGAAGUGGUCCAUAUUUUU